AUCUAUGGCCAUGCCACUCUAAACAUGCCAGAUCUCCUCUGUGGAAGCUAAGCAGGGGCAGCCUGGUUAGUACUUGAAUGGGAGACCACCUAGGAAUACCAGAUGCUGUAUGCA
This 114-nucleotide ribosomal RNA is filed under the name Pteropus alecto (black flying fox). Lineage: Eukaryota; Metazoa; Chordata; Mammalia; Chiroptera; Pteropodidae. The record is from RNAcentral.